This is a non-coding RNA of Otolemur garnettii (small-eared galago), 304 nucleotides long. Lineage: Eukaryota; Metazoa; Chordata; Mammalia; Primates; Galagidae. The record is from Rfam.
GCCAGACGUGGUGGUGUGUGCCUAUAGUUCCAGCUACUGGAGGCUGAGAUGGGAGGAUCACUUGAGUCCAGGAGUUCUAGGCUGUAGCGCACUAUGCCAUUCGGGUGUCCACACUAAGUUUGGUAUCAGUAUGGUGACUUCCCAGGAGUGGGGUGGGGGGGCCACCAGGUUGCCUAAGGAGGGGUGAAUCAGCCCAGGUCAGAAACAGAGCAGGUCAAAACUCCUUUGCUGAUCAGUAGUGGGAUGGCGCCUGUGAAUAGCCACAACACUUCAGCCUGGGCAAUAUAGCAAGACCCUAUCUCUU